Molecule: ribosomal RNA, 479 nt
Filed under: Bacillus sp. (in: firmicutes)
Lineage: Bacteria; Bacillati; Bacillota; Bacilli; Caryophanales; Bacillaceae
Description: bacterial SSU rRNA
Rfam family: Bacterial small subunit ribosomal RNA
Source: RNAcentral
AUGGCUCAGGACGAACGCUGGCGGCGUGCCUAAUACAUGCAAGUCGAGCGGACAGAUGGGAGCUUGCUCCCUGAUGUUAGCGGCGGACGGGUGAGUAACACGUGGGUAACCUGCCUGUAAGACUGGGAUAACUCCGGGAAACCGGGGCUAAUACCGGAUGGUUGUUUGAACCGCAUGGUUCAAACAUAAAAGGUGGCUUCGGCUACCACUUACAGAUGGACCCGCGGCGCAUUAGCUAGUUGGUGAGGUAACGGCUCACCAAGGCAACGAUGCGUAGCCGACCUGAGAGGGUGAUCGGCCACACUGGGACUGAGACACGGCCCAGACUCCUACGGGAGGCAGCAGUAGGGAAUCUUCCGCAAUGGACGAAAGUCUGACGGAGCAACGCCGCGUGAGUGAUGAAGGUUUUCGGAUCGUAAAGCUCUGUUGUUAGGGAAGAACAAGUACCGUUCGAAUAGGGCGGUACCUGACGGUACCUA